CUAGGCUACCUGCCUCAUCUAACCACUAGACUACCUGCCUCCUCUAACCACUAGGCUACCUGCCUCCUCUAACCACUAGGCUACCUGCCUCCUCUAACCACUAAGCUACCUGCCUCCUCUAACCACUAGGCUACCUGCCUCCUCUAACCACUAGGCUACCUGCCUCCUCCUCUAACCACUAGGCUACCUGCCUCCUCUAACCACUAGGCUACCUGCCUCCUCUAACCACUAGGCUACCUGCCUCCUCUAACCACUAGGCUACCUGCCUCCUCUAACCACUAGGCUACCUGCCACCCCAGGCUCAGGUAAGAGUGGACUCAGCAGAGAGAAUAUGAGACAGAAGGUAGAUAUCUCAGAGCACUUACCCAGAACAGGAAGUAGAUAUCUCAGAGCACUCACCCAGAAGAGGAAGUUGAACAUGAACAUCAGGUAUUUGAUGCAUUUGAAUCCUCCUACGACUCCCAUGGUAAAAUACAACACAGGUUUGGUGGUGGAGAGAAAAUAUCCCCGAGAAGUCUAGUCACAGAAGUUAAAACCCCGACGCUUCCCAGAGUAGUCUAGUCACAGAGUUAAAAACCCGACGCUUCCCAGAGUAGUCUAGUCACAGAGUUAAAAACCCUGACGCUUCCCAGAGUAGUCUAGUCACAGAGUUAAAAACCCUGACGCUUCCCAGAGUAGUCUAGUCACAGAGUUAAAAACCCGACGCUUCCCAGAGUAGUCUAGUCACAGAGUUAAAAACCCGACGCUUCCCAGAGUAGUCUAGUCAUAGAGUUAAAACCCCGACGCUUCCCAGAGUAGUCUAGUCACAGAGUUAAAACCCCGACGCUUCCCGAAGUAGUCUAGUCACAGAGUUAAAAACCCGACGCUUCCCAGAGUAGUAUAAUCACAGAGUUAAAAACCCGACGCUUAUUUAAAAGACAAAGAUAGUGAGUGAAAGAACGCGAGCGAGCGAGAGAGAGAGAGGUCUGUGGAGAAUUCCUGAGCCACACCCUGCAACCUCACUUGUUCUUUGUUAGUCAGUCGGUGAAGCAGGAUGGGAGGGGCUCCGCUAAAGCUUAC
RNAcentral lists this long non-coding RNA (1059 nucleotides) under Salmo salar (Atlantic salmon). RNAcentral's name for it is "lncRNA (ENSSSAG00000119809.1)". The record is from RNAcentral. Lineage: Eukaryota; Metazoa; Chordata; Actinopteri; Salmoniformes; Salmonidae.